CCUACGGGUGGCAGCAGUGGGGAAUAUUGCACAAUGGGCGCAAGCCUGAUGCAGCCAUGCCGCGUGUGUGAAGAAGGCCUUCGGGUUGUAAAGCACUUUCAGCGGGGAGGAAGGCGUUAAGGUUAAUAACCUUGGCGAUUGACGUUACCCGCAGAAGAAGCACCGGCUAACUCCGUGCCAGCAGCCGCGGUAAUACGGAGGGUGCAAGCGUUAAUCGGAAUUACUGGGCGUAAAGCGCACGCAGGCGGUCUGUCAAGUCGGAUGUGAAAUCCCCGGGCUCAACCUGGGAACUGCACUCGAAACUGGCAGGCUAGAGUCUUGUAGAGGGGGGUAGAAUUCCAGGUGUAGCGGUGAAAUGCGUAGAGAUCUGGAGGAAUACCGGUGGCGAAGGCGGCCCCCUGGACAAAGACUGACGCUCAGGUGCGAAAGCGUGGGGAGCAAACAGGAUUAGAUACCCGUGUAGUC
Molecule: ribosomal RNA, 465 nt
Filed under: uncultured Klebsiella sp.
Lineage: Bacteria; Pseudomonadati; Pseudomonadota; Gammaproteobacteria; Enterobacterales; Enterobacteriaceae
Description: bacterial SSU rRNA
Rfam family: Bacterial small subunit ribosomal RNA
Source: RNAcentral